Molecule: ribosomal RNA, 253 nt
Filed under: uncultured bacterium
Lineage: Bacteria
Description: partial 16S ribosomal RNA
Rfam family: Bacterial small subunit ribosomal RNA
Source: RNAcentral
GACGUAGGGGGCGAGCGUUGUCCGGAUUUAUUGGGCGUAAAGAGCUCGUAGGCGGUUCGUCGCGUCGGCUGUGAAAUCCCGAGGCUCAACCUCGGGUCUGCAGUCGAUACGGGCGGACUGGAGUUCGGCAGGGGAGACUGGAAUUCCUGGUGUAGCGGUGAAAUGCGCAGAUAUCAGGAGGAACACCGGUGGCGAAGGCGGGUCUCUGGGCCGAUACUGACGCUGAGGAGCGAAAGCGUGGGGAGCGAACAGG